RNAcentral lists this ribosomal RNA (497 nucleotides) under uncultured bacterium. Its description in RNAcentral is "partial 16S ribosomal RNA". It matches the Rfam family "Bacterial small subunit ribosomal RNA", at positions 28 to 507 of the family's 1533-position model. The record is from RNAcentral.
GAUGAACGCUGGCGGCGUGCCUAAUACAUGCAAGUCGAGCGAACAGACGAGGAGCUUGCUCCUCUGACGUUAGCGGCGGACGGGUGAGUAACACGUGGAUAACCUACCUAUAAGACUGGGAUAACUUCGGGAAACCGGAGCUCAUACCGGAUAAUAUAUUGAACCGCAUGGUUCAAUAGUGAAAGACGGUUUUGCUGUCACUUCUCGAUGGAUCCGCGCCGCAUUAGCUAGUUGGUCAGGUAACGGCUUACCAAGGCAACGAUGCGUAGCCGACCUGAGAGGGUGAUCGGCCACACUGGAACUGAGACACGGUCCAGACUCCUACGGGAGGCAGCAGUAGGGAAGCUUCCGCAAUGGGCGAAAGCCUGACGGAGCAACGCCGCGGGAGUGAUGAAGGUCUUCGGAUCGUAAAACUCUGUUAUUAGGGAAGAACAAAUGUGUAAGUAACUAUGCACGUCUUGACGGUACCUAAUCAGAAAGCCACGGCUAACUACGUG